Molecule: long non-coding RNA, 1023 nt
Filed under: Canis lupus familiaris (dog)
Lineage: Eukaryota; Metazoa; Chordata; Mammalia; Carnivora; Canidae
Description: lncRNA (ENSCAFG00845004205.1)
Source: RNAcentral
GGAGGAUGGUCAUGUCUUGUUCUUUGCAAGGAGCUGACAUCAUUUGUUUGAUGCAUGCACCCCACCCCAACUCUUGCAGAGCCUGCUUCGAGGUCUGAGCUCAGUCCCAUGGGCCCCGAUCUGGCCUCAGUCCUCAGCACAGCAUCCAUUUCUCAUCAUUCUCAUCCAUCUCAUCACAAUCAUCAUUUCUGAUGAUUUCUCAUCAGCCAACUAGUGUGGAGACUCUCACGCCAUCCCUGGAUUCCACAGUCCCACGUUCACUGCAGCGUAUGAAGCGACAUUUUAGAUUUGUAGUGUUCUCUUGAAACGAUGACGCGUAUCUGAAAGGACAUGGGAGAUGUUCUCUUCAACAUGAGAAGUGGCAAGAAGAGGCCCAGUGGGAAUAGGGGUCAGGACCUGGAGCUGUCGCUGAAAUGGCAAGCCCUGGGGGACCCCCAGUACCCAGGAAAAGGUGUUCCACUGGUGAUGAUAACACAGAGCUUCCUUUGAGGAUACACUGCCUCACUUGAAAGAGCAACGGGUGAAAGCAGCCAGUCACAAAGGACCACGUAGUGUAUGCUCCCAUUUAUGUAACAUGUCCAGGAUAGGAAAUCCAGAGACAGAGGGCAGAUGAGCAGUUGUGUGGGGCUGGGGCCAGGGGGAGCACGAGUGAGAGCUCAUGGGCCCGGGGGUUCCUUUUAGGGUGACAGGAGGGGAUGGUUACACAACAUCAUGAAUGUCCUGAAUAUCUCACAUGUCCCAAAUCCUACCCAACUAUACACCUUAAAAUUGUAAAAACAGUACAUUUUACAUUGAUUCUACAAUAAUAAAAACAACGACGACAACAAAGUGGUGACUGAAGUGUUCAGAGAUGUUGGGUAAAUAACAGCAAGGGCCUCGGGGGUGUGAUCCUGGUGGGGUGAGUGCGUGGCGGGCACUGGCUGGACCCGCAGCCCAUCCCUGGUGGGUGUGCGCCCACAGUGUCUCCCAUCACCGUGUGGCUGUGCCAGCCCUGCCCUGGGUUCCUAGCUGGACCCCUUUGAU